CAGCCGCCGCGGUAAAACGGAGGGAGCUAGCGUUGUUCGGAAUUACUGGGCGUAAAGCGCACGUAGGCGGCUUUGUAAGUUAGAGGUGAAAGCCUGGAGCUCAACUCCAGAACUGCCUUUAAGACUGCAUCGCUUGAAUCCAGGAGAGGUGAGUGGAAUUCCGAGUGUAGAGGUGAAAUUCGUAGAUAUUCGGAAGAACACCAGUGGCGAAGGCGGCUCACUGGACUGGUUUUGACGCUGAGGUGCGAAAGCGUGGGGAGCAAACAGGAUUAGAUACCCCAGUAGUCCCUGUCUCUUAUAC
This 301-nucleotide ribosomal RNA is filed under the name uncultured bacterium. RNAcentral describes it as "partial 16S ribosomal RNA". It matches the Rfam family "Bacterial small subunit ribosomal RNA", at positions 509 to 807 of the family's 1533-position model. The record is from RNAcentral.